This 211-nucleotide long non-coding RNA is filed under the name Gallus gallus (chicken). Its description in RNAcentral is "long non-coding RNA NONGGAT003678". Lineage: Eukaryota; Metazoa; Chordata; Aves; Galliformes; Phasianidae. The record is from RNAcentral.
UAAUAAACUCUUUCCACAGAUGCUGUGAUAGCUCAUAGCAUCAUCAAGUCUCUGAAAGUGUGGUGCUGUUGUGUCCCUUUUUGGCUGCAUCACUUUUGAAGAGCCAGAAUCCUGCACUGCCUGUCAGCUGAACUACGUUUCCACAAGUUUGCACAUUCCCAGCCCAUCACAAGUCUUAGGAGCUGCUCUCUAUCUCUCUGCAAGCUCACAG